UACGGAGGGUGCAAGCGUUGUUCGGAAUUACUGGGCGUAAAGCGUGCGUAGGCGGUUAUUUAAGUCAGAUGUGAAAGCCCUGGGCUUAACCUGGGAACUGCAUUUGAUACUGGAUGACUAGAGUUGAGUAGAGGAGAGUGGAAUUUCAGGUGUAGCGGUGAAAUGCGUAGAGAUCUGAAGGAACACCAGUGGCGAAGGCGGCUCUCUGGACUCAAACUGACGCUGAGGUACGAAAGCGUGGGUAGCAAACAGG
Molecule: ribosomal RNA, 253 nt
Filed under: uncultured bacterium
Lineage: Bacteria
Description: partial 16S ribosomal RNA
Rfam family: Bacterial small subunit ribosomal RNA
Source: RNAcentral